CCUACGGGUGGCAGCAGUGAGGAAUAUUGGUCAAUGGGCGCAAGCCUGAACCAGCCAAGUCGCGUGAGGGAAGACGGCCCUACGGGUUGUAAACCUCUUUUGCCGGGGAGCAACGGGCGCCACGUGUGGCGCCACUGAGAGUACCCGGAGAAAAAGCAUCGGCUAACUCCGUGCCAGCAGCCGCGGUAAUACGGAGGAUGCGAGCGUUAUCCGGAUUUAUUGGGUUUAAAGGGAGCGUAGGUGGGUUUGUAAGUCAGUUGUGAAAGUUUGCGGCUCAACCGUGAAAUUGCAGUUGAUACUGGCAGCCUUGAGUGCAGGUGAGGUAGGCGGAAUUCGUGGUGUAGCGGUGAAAUGCGUAGAUAUCACGAAGAACUCCGAUUGCGAAGGCAGCUGACUAAACUGCAACUGACAUUGAGGCUCGAAAGUGUGGGUAUCAAACAGGAUUAGAUACCCUGGUAGUC
This 461-nucleotide ribosomal RNA is filed under the name uncultured bacterium. RNAcentral describes it as "partial 16S ribosomal RNA". It matches the Rfam family "Bacterial small subunit ribosomal RNA", at positions 338 to 795 of the family's 1533-position model. The record is from RNAcentral.